This 499-nucleotide ribosomal RNA is filed under the name uncultured bacterium. RNAcentral describes it as "partial 16S ribosomal RNA". It matches the Rfam family "Bacterial small subunit ribosomal RNA", at positions 28 to 507 of the family's 1533-position model. The record is from RNAcentral.
GACGAACGCUGGCGGCGUGCUUAACACAUGCAAGUCGAACGGGCCCGCCCCUGUUUUUGGGGGUGGGUUGAGUGGCGAACGGGUGAGUAUCACGUGAGUAACCUGCCCCCUGCUCCUGGAUAACUGCUUGAAAGGGCGGCUAAUACGGGGUGUGCCGGCUGGUCCGCAUGGGCCUGGUCGGGAUAGUUUCAUCUUCGGGUGUUUCGGUGGGGGAUGGGCUCGCGGCCUAUCAGCUUGUUGGUGGGGUGAUGGCCCACCAAGGCGGUGACGGGUAGCCGGCCUGAGAGGGUGGGCGGCCACACUGGGACUGAGACACGGCCCAGACUCCUGCGGGAGGCAGCAGUGGGGGGUAUUGCACAAUGGGCGGAAGCCUGAUGCAGCGACGGCGCGUGAGGGAUGGAGGCCUUCGGGUUGUGAACCUCUUUCUCCGGGGGUGAAGGCCCUGUCCGUUGCGGCGGGGUUGACGGUAGCCGGGGAUGAAGCGCCGGCUAACUACGUG